AUUGAACGCUGGCGGCAUGCCUUACACAUGCAAGUCGAACGGCAGCACGGGAGCAAUCCUGGUGGCGAGUGGCGAACGGGUGAGUAAUAUAUCGGAACGUGCCCAGUCGGGGGGGAUAACGCAGCGAAAGCUGUUCUAAUACCGCAUACGAUCUCAGGAUGAAAGCGGGGGAUCGCAAGACCUCGCGCGAUUGGAGCGGCCGAUAUCAGAUUAGCAAGUUGGUGGGGUAAAGGCCCACCAAGGCGACGAUCUGUAGCUGGUCUGAGAGGACGACCAGCCACACUGGAACUGAGACACGGUCCAGACUCCUACGGGAGGCAGCAGUGGGGAAUUUUGGACAAUGGGCGCAAGCCUGAUCCAGCAAUGCCGCGUGCAGGAUAAAGGCCUUCGGGUUGUAAACUGCUUUUGUACGGAGCGAAAAGGUCUCCUCUAAUACAGGGGGCUCAUGACGGUACCGUAAGAAUAAGCACCGGCUAACUACGUGCCAGCAGCCGCUGUAA
This 500-nucleotide ribosomal RNA is filed under the name uncultured bacterium. RNAcentral's name for it is "partial 16S ribosomal RNA". It matches the Rfam family "Bacterial small subunit ribosomal RNA", at positions 30 to 523 of the family's 1533-position model. The record is from RNAcentral.